RNAcentral lists this ribosomal RNA (680 nucleotides) under uncultured bacterium. RNAcentral describes it as "bacterial SSU rRNA". It matches the Rfam family "Bacterial small subunit ribosomal RNA", at positions 44 to 715 of the family's 1533-position model. The record is from RNAcentral.
AUGCUUAACACAUGCAAGUCGAACGGAAACGAAACUAGCUUGCUAGUAGGCGUCGAGUGGCGGACGGGUGAGUAACGCGUAGGAAUCUGCCUGAUAGUGGGGGAUAGCCCGAAGAAAUUCGGAUUAAUACCGCAUAAUCUAUUCGUAGUAAAGUGGGGGACUUUCGAGCCUCACGCUAUCAGAUGAGCCUGCGUAAGAUUAGCUUGUUGGUAGGGUAAAAGCCUACCAAGGCAACGAUCUUUAGCUGGUCUGAGAGGAUGAUCAGCCACAUCGGGACUGAGACACGGCCCGAACUCCUACGGGAGGCAGCAGUGGGGAAUAUUGGACAAUGGGGGCAACCCUGAUCCAGCAAUACCGCGUGUGUGAAGACGGCCCGAGGGUUGUAAAGCACUUUCAAUUGUGAAGAAAAGUUAACGGUUAAUAACCGUUGGCCUUGACGUUAACUUUAGAAGAAGCACCGGCUAACUCCGUGCCAGCAGCCGCGGUAAUACGGAGGGUGCAAGCGUUAAUCGGAAUUACUGGGCGUAAAGCGUGCGUAGGCGGUUUAUUAAGUCAGAUGUGAAAGCCCCGGGCUUAACCUGGGAACUGCAUUUGAAACUGGUCAACUAGAGUAUGGUAGAGGAAAGUGGAAUUUCUGGUGUAGCGGUGAAAUGCGUAGAUAUCGGAAGGAACACCAGUGG